This 238-nucleotide ribosomal RNA is filed under the name uncultured Lactobacillus sp. Its description in RNAcentral is "partial 16S ribosomal RNA". It matches the Rfam family "Bacterial small subunit ribosomal RNA", at positions 121 to 354 of the family's 1533-position model. The record is from RNAcentral. Lineage: Bacteria; Bacillati; Bacillota; Bacilli; Lactobacillales; Lactobacillaceae.
GUACGCACAAGAGAUCGGGAUAACACCUGGAAACAGAUGCUAAUACCGGAUAACAACAGAUGAUGCCUAUCAACUGUUUAAAAGAUGGUUCUGCUAUCACUCUUGGAUGGACCUGCGGUGCAUUAGCUAGUUGGUAGGGUAACGGCCUACCAAGGCGAUGAUGCAUAGCCGAGUUGAGAGACUGAUCGGCCACAUUGGGACUGAGACACGGCCCAAACUCCUACGGGAGGCAGCAGAA